ACACUUUGGCAGUAUAUGUACUAAAAUUGGAAUGACACAGAGACAAUUAGCAUGGCCCCUGAGCAAGGAUGACACACCAAUUCGUGAAGGGUUCCAUAUUUUG
This is a small nuclear RNA of Phyllostomus discolor (pale spear-nosed bat), 103 nucleotides long. NCBI's taxonomy places the organism in Eukaryota, Metazoa, Chordata, Mammalia, Chiroptera, Phyllostomidae. The record is from RefSeq and is a predicted model, not a curated record.